UCGCUGAGGAAUCUAACUUCGGUAGAGCCGUGUUUGAACUAGGAAGCUACUAAUCUAGCUUAGUCUACUUUUAGAUUAGACCUCAAAUCAGAUAGGAUUACCCGCUGAACUUAAGCAUAUCAAUAAGCGGAGGAAAAGAAACUAACAAGGAUUCCCCUAGUAGCGGCGAGCGAAGCGGGAAGAGCUCAAAUUUAUAAUCUGGCACUUUCAGUGUCCGAGUUGUAAUCUCUAGAAGUGUUUUCCGCAUUGGACCGCACACAAGUCUGUUGGAAUACAGCGGCACAGUGGUGAGACCCCCGUAUACGGUGCGGAUGCCCAAUGCUUUGUGAUACACUUUCGAAGAGUCGAGUUGUUUGGGAAUGCAGCUCAAAUUGGGUGGUAAAUUCCAUCUAAAGCUAAAUAUUGGCGAGAGACCGAUAGCGAACAAGUACCGUGAGGGAAAGAUGAAAAGCACUUUGGAAAGAGAGUUAACAGUACGUGAAAUUGUUGGAAGGGAAACGCUUGAAGUCAGACUUGCUAUUCGGGGCUUGCUCCGAGUUGCAGGCCAGCAUCAGUUUUCUGGGGUGGAAAAUCACGGUUAGAAGGUAGCAACUUCGGUUGUGUUAUAGCUUUCCGUUGGAUACAUCCUGGGGGACUGAGGAACGCAGUGUGCUUUUAGCAGGAGCUUCGGCUUCAUCACACUUAGGAUGCUGGUGGAAUGGCUUUAAACGACCCGUCUUGAAACACGGACCAAGGAGUCUAACAUGCUUGCGAGUAUUUGGGUGUCAAACCCGGA
This 775-nucleotide ribosomal RNA is filed under the name Rhodosporidiobolus odoratus. RNAcentral describes it as "LSU rRNA". It matches the Rfam family "Eukaryotic large subunit ribosomal RNA", at positions 1 to 712 of the family's 3401-position model. The record is from RNAcentral. Lineage: Eukaryota; Fungi; Basidiomycota; Microbotryomycetes; Sporidiobolales; Sporidiobolaceae.